This 198-nucleotide ribosomal RNA is filed under the name uncultured bacterium. RNAcentral describes it as "partial 16S ribosomal RNA". It matches the Rfam family "Bacterial small subunit ribosomal RNA", at positions 1303 to 1500 of the family's 1533-position model. The record is from RNAcentral.
GGCUGAAAUUCGCCUUCAUGAAGCUGGAAUUGCUAGUAAUGGCAGGUCAGCAUACUGCCGUGAAUACGUUCCCGGGCCUUGUACACACCGCCCGUCACACCAUGAGAGUUGGAAAUACCCGAAGCCUGUGAGCUAACUGUAAAGAGGCAGCAGUCGAAGGUAGAGCCAAUGAUUGGGGUGAAGUCGUAACAAGGUAGC